Molecule: long non-coding RNA, 203 nt
Filed under: Nicotiana benthamiana
Lineage: Eukaryota; Viridiplantae; Streptophyta; Magnoliopsida; Solanales; Solanaceae
Description: long non-coding RNA (NBEN_LNC015749)
Source: RNAcentral
GAAGAUAUAUGCAUGUUUAUGAUUAUGCAAGUCUAUUAAUAAUUAUUGCAUAAAUUUAGGGGGAAUCAUAAAUUGAGGGGGAACACAUAUCUUGAACUGUUAUGCAUAUGAACAUGUAUCUUGAACUAUUAUGCAUAUAGUCAUAUCUUGAACUGUUAUUAUUAUGCAUAUCCCGAUAUAGGUUUGCCAUUAUCAAAAAGGGG